GCAGAUACAAACAAAUUAACAGAUACAAGCAAAUUAGCAGAUACAAACAAAUUAACAGAAUUGAAUUUGAGAAGGUCGAAAAAUAAUUAUAAUAAGAAAGCAUCAGCCAAUUUAGUUACCUCAGUAUAUGAUAAUAAACAAAAUGCAAACAGAAAUAUCGUAUCAAAUGAAUACGGUUUGUCCAACGAAAAUAAAAACAACUAUAACUCAGAUAAAAGUGAACAGAUAUACAAAAAAAAAAAUAUUAAUUCUUAUGAACCAUUUAAUACAUCAAUAAAUAAUGAAGAAGAACAAAAUAUAGACAUGAAUUUAUUACAACAAUCUAUAAAAAGUAUACAAGAACAAUGGAAACAUAAAAUGUUAGAGAGUACUAGUACUUUAUUGAAUGCUAAAAGUAAAAAGUACAAUACGCAGGGUGUUGAUUCGAAUUUUGAAAAUGGUACUAGUACGAAUGGACUUAAGGAUAGUGAACCGAAACAUAAUCGCAACAGUAUGGGUGAUAGUUCAAGCAGAAGUAUGGGCGAUAGUACAAGCAACAGUAUGGGAGAUAGUACAAGCAAUAGCAUGAGAAAUAGUACAAGCAAUAGCAUGAGAAAUAGUACAAACAAUAGUAUGAGAAAUCAUACAAACAACAGUAUGGGCGAUAGUACAAACAACAGUAUGGGCGAUAGUACAAACAACAGUAUGAGCGAUAGUACAAACAACAGUAUGGGAGAUAGUACAAACAACAAUAUGGACGAUAGUACAAGCAACAGUAUGAGAAAUAGUACAAGUAAUAGUGUGGGCAGCACUAUACCCGAAUCAAAUUAUUCAUAUAACCAUGAAAACCCAAAUAAUUCAAACUUGUUUUAUGAUUUAUCAAAAUCAAAUACGUGUUCUCAAAAUUAUAUGAAUAGUUAUAAUUUCAAUACUUCUAAUAAUAUGCAUAUAAGUAGUACCAAUUUUCCUAGCUGUAAUGGAAACCCAAACGAAUUAACAGAAAAUGGCAAUUUCCAGUCUAAUAGUGGGAUUACAAAAUUAUUAAUGAAUGAACAAUUCGUUAAUGUAGAUUUACAUAUAUCGUAUACAGAAAAUGAAAUACAAAAUAAGAUAAAAGACUUUGACAAGUACAUAAUUGAAGCUUUUGAAAGUAAAUGUAAUAGAGUUCUAAACAAAAUUGAAAACUUGCUUGCUUGUAGUU
Molecule: long non-coding RNA, 1180 nt
Filed under: Piliocolobus tephrosceles (Ugandan red Colobus)
Lineage: Eukaryota; Metazoa; Chordata; Mammalia; Primates; Cercopithecidae
Description: lncRNA (ENSPTEG00000006443.1)
Source: RNAcentral